This 508-nucleotide ribosomal RNA is filed under the name uncultured bacterium. RNAcentral describes it as "partial 16S ribosomal RNA". It matches the Rfam family "Bacterial small subunit ribosomal RNA", at positions 28 to 523 of the family's 1533-position model. The record is from RNAcentral.
GAUGAACGCUAGCUACAGGCUUAACACAUGCAAGUCGAGGGGAAACGAUAGAGAAAGCUUGCUUUUUCUAGGCGUCGACCGGCGCAAGGGUGAGUAACGCGUAUCCAACCUGCCCAUCACUUGGGGAUAACCUUGGGAAAGUAAGACUAAUACACACUGACGUCCAUAGAAGAAAUCUGAAAAGGAUUAAAGAUUUAUCGGUGAUGGAUGGGGAUGCGUCUGAUUAGUUUUUCGGCGGGGUAACGGCCAACCAAGGCGACGAUCAGUAGGGGUUCUGAGAGGAAGGUCCCCCACAUUGGAACUGAGACACGGUCCAAACUCCUACGGGAGGCAGCAGUGAGGAAUAUUGGUCAAUGGACGAGAGUCUGAACCAGCCAAGUAGCGUGCAGGAUGACGGCCCUAUGGGUUGUAAACUGCUUUUAUAAGGGAAUAAAGUGGGAGUCGUGACUCCUUUUGCAUGUACCUUAUGAAUAAGGACCGGCUAAUUCCGUGCCAGCCGCCGCCGUAA